This is a long non-coding RNA of Vespula pensylvanica (western yellowjacket), 448 nucleotides long. RefSeq lists it as uncharacterized. The transcript is spliced from 3 exons. Lineage: Eukaryota; Metazoa; Arthropoda; Insecta; Hymenoptera; Vespidae. The record is from RefSeq and is a predicted model, not a curated record.
CGGCAUAGAAUAAUAUCCUACAUUUUGCAUUUGUGUUAUACCGGAAUUCCAAAAAUAUUGCUGUCCAGUGUUUGAAGAAAGGUUUGCCAUUUCUUACAAUGAAAUUUAUCUAGAAGAUUACAAAGUAUCUAUUACAAAAGUCAAUGACAAAAAUAUGUUUAUUAUUUUUUUAUUAAAACGAUUAAAAUUUUGAAUUGGCGGUCAUUGACUACGUACAACGUGAACAAAAACAAUAUUGGUUGACUUUGACCGUAAUCCAAUCAGUCUUCCUUUAUACUCCGACGAGUAAGUAUCGUAGCUCUCUUUCUCGAGACAUUUAAAUUUUGAAUUGGCGGUCAUUGAUUACGUACAACGUGAACAAAAACAAUAUUGGUUGACUUUGACCGUAAUCCAAUCAGUCUUCCUUUAUACUCCGACGAGUAAGUAUCGUAGCUCUCUUUCUCGAAAC